This 237-nucleotide long non-coding RNA is filed under the name Lathyrus oleraceus (garden pea). RNAcentral's name for it is "Pisum sativum (pea) long non-coding RNA (PSAT_LNC018905)". The record is from RNAcentral. Lineage: Eukaryota; Viridiplantae; Streptophyta; Magnoliopsida; Fabales; Fabaceae.
UGUUCGCUUUCAUCCUGCUCGGGUUAGCUGAUGACUGAAUAGGGGCAGCUGUAACACCUCAAAAUUUGCCCUCCUCAUUCAUGCAUUCAUUUUUAGGUCAUUUAACAUUUCAUAUUGCAUUUCAUCAUGUCAAUCAGAACCAGAUCCAAGAAACUUUAUUUAAAAAAAAAACGAAAAAAAAAGGAAAACGAAAAAAAAAUAUAUAAAAGAAAAUUUAAUUAAAUAAAUAAAUAAAAG